AAAGACCUGAGAGGUGGAUGUGUUCAUGGAGCCCGAGCCUGGCAACAGUAGGAGAGGCAAGCAGGAGCCAGUCUUUACCUAGUGUUGAGAGGGAAAACACUCCUUUGGAUACAAAGAUCAAAGAGCAUAUUUCAAAAGGAAUAAUUUUUCAAAAGCCAAUAAAUUUUCUGCCACAUAGCUGAGUUAAAGAAAAAUCUCCACCAAGAUAUUCUGUCUACUUAAAAGUAAGAAACCACCACAUCUGCUAUGA
This is a non-coding RNA of Microcebus murinus (gray mouse lemur), 250 nucleotides long. Lineage: Eukaryota; Metazoa; Chordata; Mammalia; Primates; Cheirogaleidae. The record is from RefSeq and is a predicted model, not a curated record.